AUAGGUUGGGUUAACUCGUGAUCCGAUCCGACCUAUUUACAUUCGAUUCGAUCUAUUUUUAAAGACUCGUGGGCCCGAAUCGGGGUCUCAAAUUGGACAUUUUCCAUUUUAUGGUUCGGGUUUGGGUUUACUGAUUCUCGACCCGACUCAUUAUUUUUGGGGUCAAUUUUAGAUCAUUUACCCAACGAUCCGAUCAGACCCGAAUGCGGAUUAUCUAUUUUAGGCCCACAAUGAUUCAAUGAUUCUAUAGGUUUUCCUUUAUGGACAAAGGCUAGGUGGAAAUGGUGAGAGGCUCUACUGCAAGAUGGUAAGCUUUUGGACAUUAGUCUCAUUGGUCUGGCAGCAAGUAACUGCCCUUUGGCCUGUCUUGCCACCCUCCACAAAGUAGAGGAUCAGUUAAGGACUUAAAAUGUGCUAUCCAAUUGGUUAUUUCUCUUCUAGCAAAAAAAAAAAGGUUAUUUCUUUGGAAAUGGCUGCAAUAUUUAACUUUAAAUCCCAUUGAGUGUGAUUGAUUGGACAAACGAUUGGAUCCCUCUGCCAUCUAUCCAUCCAUUGCUCUAAAAACCUGCAUGAGAGACCAAGUUGCCUUUGUCUACCUUUGUUCUUAUGAUGUAUUUAGUUUUUUAAAAGGAAACACAUAAGGCUACUUACUAUAUUUUAGAUUCUUGAAAGGAUCCUAUGACAUGCAAGACCUGUCUCAGUGAACCCACAAACCCACAAGGGCUUCAGAAAAGCCAUGGUUCUUCUGAAUCUACUCAUUAUAUCUUAUUCUCACAUAUCCACAACCAUUAUAAGAUGAUGUUCUUUGCUCUUUUUUUGUUAUCGCUGCAUUUCACCAGCAUGGCCCGCCCCGGUUCCGAACUGGAUCCAAAUUUUUUGGGUUGGGUUCAGGUUAUACAUGGACCUGAUCCGGCCCGAAUGAUCCGUUGGGUUAAAAAUUGUAGUC
This 946-nucleotide long non-coding RNA is filed under the name Phoenix dactylifera (date palm). Its description in RNAcentral is "long non-coding RNA (PDAC_LNC016747)". Lineage: Eukaryota; Viridiplantae; Streptophyta; Magnoliopsida; Arecales; Arecaceae. The record is from RNAcentral.